UGAAGAAGGACAGGCACUUCCAGCACCUUGCAGGCCUGAGCCACCAGGAGAGACACAGAUCCAAACCCCAAUUGCCCCCUGUUCUGCUCUAAGGAAAGUCUUUAGGCUGUGACUUCCUGUGACUGCCCUCACAGCCCUUUUGCCGACUGGACCCCUGGUCUCUCACAGAAAGGCAAUCACAACACAACAGACCAUGUCGACUCCCUGCCUGACACUCUGGACACUCGAAUAGAUCGUGAAGCUCCCACUGAGGUGCCUGCUGUUGGGUCCUGGUGAGACAGAGAAGCCAGCAUGUAUGUUGUUGGUAUACUGCAGGUGCUCCGAGAUGCUGUCGCAUGACACCUAUCCUCAUCUCCAUCCCAGGCCACAGGUUUGAACCCUCAAUGCAUGGCCAACUGUAGAAAGUUGGUUAGCACAGCUUGGAUUGAUCCACGUUUUCUAAUAAGUCACCCUACUGUUG
Long non-coding RNA from Nannospalax galili (Upper Galilee mountains blind mole rat), 460 nucleotides. RefSeq lists it as uncharacterized. NCBI's taxonomy places the organism in Eukaryota, Metazoa, Chordata, Mammalia, Rodentia, Spalacidae. The record is from RefSeq and is a predicted model, not a curated record. The transcript has 3 exons.